Molecule: ribosomal RNA, 237 nt
Filed under: uncultured bacterium
Lineage: Bacteria
Description: partial 16S ribosomal RNA
Rfam family: Bacterial small subunit ribosomal RNA
Source: RNAcentral
GAUCAGGCUCAGGAUGAACGCUAGCGGCAGGCCUAACACAUGCAAGUCGAGGGGCAGCACGUUAAAGAGUUUACUCUUUAUGGUGGCGACCGGCGGACGGGUGCGUAACGCGUAUGCAACCUGCCUGACACAGGGGGAUAAUCCGAAGAAAUUUGGUCUAAUACCCCAUAAUACCGAUAUAGGCAUCUAUGUUGGUUGAAAGCUUUGGUGGUGUCAGAUGGGCAUGCGUUGUAUUAG